GACGAACGCUGGCGGCGUGCUUAACACAUGCAAGUCGAACGCUGAAGCACCAGCUUGCUGGUGUGGAUGAGUGGCGAACGGGUGAGUAAUACGUGAGUAACCUGCCCUUGACUCUGGGAUAAGCCCGGGAAACUGGGUCUAAUACUGGAUGCUACAUGUCACCGCAUGGUGGUGUGUGGAAAGGGUUUACUGGUCUUGGAUGGGCUCACGGCCUAUCAGCUUGUUGGUGAGGUAAUGGCUCACCAAGGCGACGACGGGUAGCCGGCCUGAGAGGGUGACCGGCCACACUGGGACUGAGACACGGCCCAGACUCCUACGGGAGGCAGCAGUGGGGAAGAUUGCACAAUGGGCGAAAGCCUGAUGCAGCGGCGCCGCGUGAGGGAUGACGGCCUUCGGGUUGUAAACCUCUUUCAGCAGGGAAGAAGCCACAAGUGACUGUACCUGCAGAAGAAGCGCCGGCUAACUACGUG
This 470-nucleotide ribosomal RNA is filed under the name uncultured bacterium. RNAcentral's name for it is "partial 16S ribosomal RNA". It matches the Rfam family "Bacterial small subunit ribosomal RNA", at positions 28 to 507 of the family's 1533-position model. The record is from RNAcentral.